Molecule: long non-coding RNA, 1363 nt
Organism: Oryzias melastigma (Indian medaka)
Lineage: Eukaryota; Metazoa; Chordata; Actinopteri; Beloniformes; Adrianichthyidae
Exons: 2
Source: RefSeq, a predicted model, not a curated record
GAUUUGAGCAUGACAAUAUCAAGCAGGCUGCAGACCUGAGAUUCUUCUGCUGGCUUUAUAGAGCUUUUUAUUUUUUAACAGAUACUAAUUGACUGUUAGUAAAGCAGUAAAGGAGUAUGAAGCUGUCAGAGAGAGAUGAGAAAAUCCUAGUAAUGCCACAUGGCAUUGAGUCUUUGAAGAAAAGCUCCAGUCUGGCUUCAUUUGUUGACAAGUGAGGCCACAAUGGAGGACUGACUCCUCUGAAGGGUUGAACAUCUUGUGGACUAAGAUACACAGCUAACUUAAUCUUUGACUCCUUCAUCUGUCCUCUCCGUCACACUCAGCCAAUGGAACCGGCAGCCAGAUGUCCACCCCAAUGCCCCCCACAUCAACCCCAAGUAGUCCAGGCCUGAACAACAAGCAGAAGGAUCUCAACCUGGAGGGUGACGAUUCCCUCAGUGAAUCCACCUAGACUCUCCUGCUGCAGCAGCCCACGUUAGGCUUAAAAUAUACAGAUUUUUCUUUUCCACCUUCCCUCACAAUGCCACCAUCGAGGAGAACCACUCUCUUUUUUCAUUUUGUUCUUAAUGUGAUGCAUAAUUUUACUGAAAUGAAAAUCAAAAGCUUUUUAACUUUCUUUUUGGGAUUUACAAUGUGCAACGACGAUUACUGGAUUAACAUGAUAAUGGGCUCCACUAAUAAUGAUUGCUACAUAUCUGUUGCAUGACGUGUGAUUCACAUUAAUGUUUAUUGAAAUGAUGCAAGAAAGUUUUUUGAAGAUAAUCAAUAAGCACUCUGUUCUGCUACUCUAUAAAUAAUCGGCACUUGAUCUAUAUAAAAAUAUAUAUAAAAAAUAUGAAAUACGUAAAAAAAAAAAUAAAAAAAACAACUCGGGUGGGAUUAUCCAAAUUUCCUUCCUCCCACUAACCAACAACUAUGUUAGGUAAUCAAUAUUUUUAACAAAUCAAAUAUGACUUGUGUGUGUACUGCAGGCAUUACAACACAAAAGUAUUCAUUACAUUCAUUAUUACAUAGUUAAGAGGAUGUCCUCAUGAACUAAUAUCUUUAUUAUUUGUUUCUUUAUUUUACUUUCAAUAUAUUACAUGAUAUCUAAAACAGGCUUGGAUUAUCUGUGUUUUGUAAUUUUAAUUGUGUUAUUCCAUAAUUAACAAGUCAACAACCAAAUCGACAACCAGUAAUGUCAACAAGUAGUGUUGACAUUACUGGUUCCUUUUUGAAUUCCCAUGAAUAAUUUUAAAUUUUGGUUUCAAACUCUUCACAGGCACAUUCAUACACUUCACUGUAGUUUUCAUUUUUUAGUCAUUAAUCUCCAGCACCCUCUGCUGUAUAAUGUCUGAAUAAAGAAAUGCACACUGAUUUUAAA